Molecule: transfer RNA, 72 nt
Filed under: Candidatus Woesearchaeota archaeon
Lineage: Archaea; Nanobdellati; Candidatus Woesearchaeota
Description: tRNA-Val
Rfam family: tRNA
About the family: Transfer RNA (tRNA) molecules are approximately 80 nucleotides in length. Their secondary structure includes four short double-helical elements and three loops (D, anti-codon, and T loops).
Source: RNAcentral
GGGCCUGUAGUCUAUCGGCAUGACAUCGCUUUCACAUGGCGAAGGUAGGGGGUUCAAUUCCCUCUGGGCCCA